AGCAGUAGCCGCGGUAAUACGAAGGGUGCAAGCGUUAAUCGGAAUUACUGGGCGUAAAGCGUGCGUAGGCGGUUUGUUAAGUCUGCUGUGAAAUCCCCGGGCUCAACCUGGGAAUGGCAGUGGAUACUGGCAUGCUAGAGUGUGUCAGAGGAUGGUGGAAUUCCCGGUGUAGCGGUGAAAUGCGUAGAGAUCGGGAGGAACAUCAGUGGCGAAGGCGGCCAUCUGGGACAACACUGACGCUGAGGCACGAAAGCGUGGGGAGCAAACAGGAUUAGAGACCCCGGUAGUCCCUGUCUCUUAUAC
This 303-nucleotide ribosomal RNA is filed under the name uncultured bacterium. Its description in RNAcentral is "partial 16S ribosomal RNA". It matches the Rfam family "Bacterial small subunit ribosomal RNA", at positions 507 to 807 of the family's 1533-position model. The record is from RNAcentral.